AGUGAACGCUGGCGGUAGGCCUAACACAUGCAAGUCGAACGGCAGCACAGUAAGAGCUUGCUCUUACGGGUGGCGAGUGGCGGACGGGUGAGGAAUACAUCGGAAUCUACUUUUUCGUGGGGGAUAACGUAGGGAAACUUACGCUAAUACCGCAUACGACCUACGGGUGAAAGCAGUGGAUCUUCGGACCUUGCGCGAUUGAAUGAGCCGAUGUCGGAUUAGCUAGUUGGCGAGGUAAAGGCCCACCAAGGCGACGAUCCGUAGCUGACCUGAGAGGAUGAUCGGCCACACUGGAACUGAGCCACGGUCCAGACUCCUACGGGAGGCAGCAGUAGGGAAUCUUCCGCAAGGGGCGAAAGCCUGACGGAGCAACGCCGCGUGAGUGAUGAAGGUCUUCGGAUCGUAAAACUCUGUUAUUAGGGAAGAACAAAGGUGUAAGUAACUAUGCACGUCUUGACGGUACCUAAUCAGAAAGCCACGGCUAACUACGUG
This 492-nucleotide ribosomal RNA is filed under the name uncultured bacterium. RNAcentral's name for it is "partial 16S ribosomal RNA". It matches the Rfam family "Bacterial small subunit ribosomal RNA", at positions 29 to 507 of the family's 1533-position model. The record is from RNAcentral.